This is a non-coding RNA of Candidatus Peribacteria bacterium, 74 nucleotides long. NCBI's taxonomy places the organism in Bacteria, Candidatus Peregrinibacteriota, Candidatus Peribacteria. The record is from Rfam.
GGGGCUGUAGCUCAGUUGGUCAGAGCACCUGCUUUGCAAGCAGGGGGUCAAGGGUUCGACUCCCUUCAGCUCCA